GAGUUUGAUCAUGGCUCAGGAUGAACGCUGGCGGCGUGCUUAACACAUGCAAGUCGAACGAACCUUCGGGUUAGUGGCGGACGGGUGAGUAACGCGUGGGAAUCUGCCCUCAGGAGGGGGAUAACGGUUGGAAACGACCGCUAAUACCCCAUAUGCCGAGAGGUGAAAUGAAUUUCGCCUGAGGAUGAGCCCGCGUCUGAUUAGCUUGUUGGUGAGGUAAAAGCUCACCAAGGCUUCGAUCAGUAGCUGGUCUGAGAGGAUGAUCAGCCACACUGGGACUGAGACACGGCCCAGACUCCUACGGGAGGCAGCAGUGGGGAAUUUUCCGCAAUGGACGAAAGUCUGACGGAGCAACGCCGCGUGAGGGACGAAGGCCUCUGGGCUGUAAACCUCUUUUCUCAAGGAAGAAGAUAUGACGGUACUUGAGGAAUAAGCCACGGCUAAUUCCGUGCCAGCAGCCGCGGUAAUACGGGAGUGGCAAGCGUUAUCCGGAAUUAUUGGGCGUAAAGCGUCCGCAGGCGGCCUUUCAAGUCUGCUGUUAAAACGUGGAGCUUAACUCCAUCAUGGCAGUGGAAACUGAUUGGCUUGAGUAUGGUAGGGGCAGAGGGAAUUCCCGGUGUAGCGGUGAAAUGCGUAGAUAUCGAGAAGAACACCAGUGGCGAAGGCGCUCUGCUGGGCCAUUACUGACGCUCAUGGACGAAAGCCAGGGGAGCGAAAGGGAUUAGAUACCCCUGUAGUCCUGGCCGUAAACGAUGAACACUAGGUGUCGGGGGGAAUCGACCCCUCCGGUGUCGUAGCUAACGCGUUAAGUGUUCCGCCUGGGGAGUACGCACGCAAGUGUGAAACGCAAAGGAAUUGACGGGGGCCCGCACAAGCGGUGGAGUAUGUGGUUUAAUUCGAUGCAACGCGAAGAACCUUACCAGGGCUUGACAUCCUGCGAACCUUUAAGAAAUUAGAGGGUGCCUUCGGGAACGCAGUGACAGGUGGUGCAUGGCUGUCGUCAGCUCGUGUCGUGAGAUGUUGGGUUAAGUCCCGCAACGAGCGCAACCCACGUUUUUAGUUGCCAGCAUUCAGUUGGGCACUCUAGAAAGACCGCCGGUGAUAAACCGGAGGAAGGUGUGGAUGACGUCAAGUCAUCAUGCCCCUUACGUCCUGGGCUACACACGUACUACAAUGCUACGGACAAAGGGCAGCAAACUCGCGAGAGCUAGCAAAUCCCAUAAACCGUGGCUCAGUUCAGAUCGUAGGCUGCAACUCGCCUACGUGAAGUAGGAAUCGCUAGUAAUCGCAAAUCAGCAUGUCGCGGUGAAUACGUUCUCGGGUCUUGUACACACCGCCCGUCACACCAUGGAAGUCGACCCUUCCCUAAGUCGUUACUCGAACCUGUAAAGGACGAGGACGCCGAAGGCAGAGUUGGUGACUAGGGUGAAGUCGUAACAAGGUAACC
RNAcentral lists this ribosomal RNA (1447 nucleotides) under uncultured marine cyanobacterium. Its description in RNAcentral is "bacterial SSU rRNA". It matches the Rfam family "Bacterial small subunit ribosomal RNA". The record is from RNAcentral. Lineage: Bacteria; Bacillati; Cyanobacteriota.